Long non-coding RNA from Dreissena polymorpha, 1712 nucleotides. RefSeq lists it as uncharacterized. The transcript is spliced from 5 exons. NCBI's taxonomy places the organism in Eukaryota, Metazoa, Mollusca, Bivalvia, Myida, Dreissenidae. The record is from RefSeq and is a predicted model, not a curated record.
AAAAUUAUGUAAAAUUCUUUCAUAUAGUUUGCUAAACAUAUUGAGAUUUAUUUAUAUAUCUAAUAUAAUUCAAAUCCAAGUUAUUAUUUUUGUGUAUUCACCGUGCAGUUUGAUAGAGUCCAUAGAGUACAAGAGUAUGGUUCGCCAGGGACUUGCUGUGUGACACUGCUUACACUUCAGAGUACAAGAGUAUGGUUCGCCAGGGACUUGCUGUGUGACACUGCUUACACUUCAGAGUACAAGAGUAUGGUUCGCCAGGGACUUGCUGCUAAGGUACUGGAUGCUAUUCCUGGGAAGAAAAUAUUUGGAUUGUACCGACUAUUGCCAAUCUACUUCCUUCUUGGCGCAGCUGUUGAAUUUUCUAUGAUCCACUGGCGACCAAAGGGAGUUAACUUUUACGACACAUACAAGAGGAAGCACGUAGAUAAAGAGGCGCGAAGUCAGAUCAACUUUGAGGACCUGAAAGAAAAAGUGCUGAAAGGGAAACAGCUCUAAUAGGUCAGCAGGCCAUGCCAGCAGGUGUUACGUGGGGCGUGUACCUUAGUACGCUGACCGUCUCCCUACUGGCCAUGCUGGCUGGAGCACAGACUGUCCAUUUUGUAUACAGACCUCUGGAGGAUUUCCAAGCAAUGGUUGACAAGCGAAAAAAGGAAAUAAGGGAAGAAAUGAGACAGGAAAAACUCCAGGAAAGUCUGAAAAACAAAACUAGUUCUUAAUCAGUGAUAUAAAUUUUACAAAUUAUUAAAAAUAUAUCUGUAUGUGAUUGUAUUGAAAACUAUCUAUUUAAAUAUAUCUGUUGUGACCGUGUUUAAUUGCGUACAUUUAGCUGCAUUGAUAAAAUGGCACAUAUUGCGGGUAUGUUUGUGAUUCGAUCAAAUCAGAUUUGUUCUAGACUGCUAAAUAGACAGUUAUUCCAGUGUCGUGAAAAGUUCAAACUGCCAGAUAAGCCAGAGUGGAUUGAAAUAGAUCCAAAGGCCUUACCACCUGAGACUGUAUUAGACGAUAGUACAAUCCAGCUGAUAGAAAGGCUGUCUCUGGUAGAUUUCAAUAACAAAGAGGGUGUUGAGCGUUUGAAAAGUGCUAUCAAAUAUGCAGACCAGUUGUGCGUGGUGAACACUGAAGGGCUGGAACCCAUGUAUUCUGUGCAGGAGCAUGAAGAGUUGUUCUUAGAUGAGGAUGUGGUAAGGGAAGGCAAUUGUAAACAGGAAAUAUUGCGCAAUGCAGUGAAAGUUGAGGAAGACUAUUUUGUGACUCCUCCAGGGAAUAUUCCGUUGAAGCAGAAAAAGUUGUUUGAUAAGGAAGGAAGCUGAAUUGUGAAUGUACAUUUAUAGUAAUAAAACAGAUGGUUAUAUAGUUAUGAUUUGUUAAGAUUAUGUAUGAAAACAAUUUUAUUCCAUCGUCUAAGUUAGUUCUUAAACUGAGCUGGGUCAUGGGAAAAUGAGGCUAAUACCAUUUAAGCAAGGUGGACACCUGCCUGCACAAUCGUGCUGUCUGGUCAAUGGCUUCACUAACUGCUAUAAAGUAACACAAGCCUUAUUAGUUUCAUUAGCAGACAGGGUAGGCCCAGACCAGACUGGGCAAUUGCAUAGAUGUGAGAGUUGGUGAGAAGCUACCGGAGAUCAUAUGGCAUAAGACCCAUUUUCGCAUGAUACAGGUUCAUUCUAAGUGGUUUGAAAAUGCUAGAUUUAUUUUGAAUAAACUUGUCAAUAUCA